UGGGGAAUAUUGCACAAUGGGCGCAAGCCUGAUGCAGCCAUGCCGCGUGUGUGAAGAAGGCCUUCGGGUUGUAAAGCACUUUCAGCGGGGAGGAAGGCGUUAAGGUUAAUAACCUUGGCGAUUGACGUUACCCGCAGAAGAAGCACCGGCUAACUCCGUGCCAGCAGCCGCGGUAAUACGGAGGGUGCAAGCGUUAAUCGGAAUUACUGGGCGUAAAGCGCACGCAGGCGGUCUGUCAAGUCGGAUGUGAAAUCCCCGGGCUCAACCUGGGAACUGCAUUCGAAACUGGCAGGCUAGAGUCUUGUAGAGGUGGGUAGAAUUCCAGGUGUAGCGGUGAAAUGCGUAGAGAUCUGGAGGAAUACCGGUGGCGAAGGCGGCCCCCUGGACAAAGACUGACGCUCAGGUGCGAAAGCGUGGGGAGCAAACAGG
Molecule: ribosomal RNA, 429 nt
Filed under: Chloroflexota bacterium
Lineage: Bacteria; Bacillati; Chloroflexota
Description: Chloroflexi bacterium partial 16S ribosomal RNA
Rfam family: Bacterial small subunit ribosomal RNA
Source: RNAcentral